This 497-nucleotide ribosomal RNA is filed under the name uncultured bacterium. RNAcentral's name for it is "partial 16S ribosomal RNA". It matches the Rfam family "Bacterial small subunit ribosomal RNA", at positions 28 to 507 of the family's 1533-position model. The record is from RNAcentral.
GAUGAACGCUGGCGGCGUGCCUAAUACAUGCAAGUCGAGCGAACAGACGAGGAGCUUGCUUCUCUGAUGUUAGCGGCGGACGGGUGAGUAACACGUGGAUAACCUACCUAUAAGACUGGGAUAACUUCGGGAAACCGGAGCUAAUACCGUAUAAUAUAUUGAACCGCAUUGUUCAAUAGUGAAAGACGGUGUUGCUGUCACUUAUAGAUGGAUCCGCGCCGCAUUAGCUGGUUGGUAAGGUAACGGCUUACCAAGGCAACGAUGCGUAGACGACCUGAGAGAGUGGUCGGCCACAUUGGAGGGUAGCCAGGGACAAGAGGACUGCGGGAGGGAGCAGUAGGGAAUGGGCGGCAAUGGGGGAAAGUAUGACGGAGUGAGCGAGAGUGAGAUGCAACAACGUCGGGUUAGUAAAAAUCUGUUACUAGGGAAGAACAUAUGUGAACGGAAAAGUAGCCAUAGUGACGGUACCUAAAGAGAAAGCGCCGGCUAACUACGUG